UUCCGGUUGAUCCUGCCGGAGGCCAUUGCUAUCGGGGUCCGAUUUAGCCAUGCUAGUCGCACGGGUUCAGACCCGUGGCAAACAGCUCAGUAACACGUGGCCAAACUACCCUAUGGACGUGGACACCCUCGGGAAACUGAGGCUAAUCCACGAUACGGCUCCCACGCUGGAAUGCGGGGAGCCGGAAACGCUCCGGCGCCCUAGGAUGUGGCUGCGGUCGAUUAGGUAGACGGUGGGGUAACGGCCCACCGUGCCCAUAAUCGGUACGGGAUGUGAGAGCAAAUAGCCCGGAGAUGGUAUCUGAGACAAGAUACCAGGCCCUACGGGGCGCAGCAGGCGCGAAACCUUUACACUGCACGCCAGUGCGAUAAGGGGACCCCGAGUGCGAGGGCAUACAGUCCUCGCUUUUGUACACCGUAAGGAGGUGUACGAAUAAGGGCUGGGCGAGACCGGUGCCAGCCGCCGCGGUAAUACCGGCAGCCCGAGUGAUGGCCGCUGUUAUUGGGCCUAAAGCGUCCGUAGCCGGCCGAACAAGUCUGUCGGGAAAUCCAUCCGCCUAACGGAUGGGCGUCCGGCAGAAACUGUUCGGCUUGGGGCCGGAAGAUCCGAGGGGUACGUCUGGGGUAGGAGUGAAAUCCUGUAAUCCUGGACGGACCGCCGGUGGCGAAAGCGCCUCGGAAGGACGGACCCGACGGUGAGGGACGAAAGCUGGGGUCUCGAACCGGAUUAGAUACCCGGGUAGUCCCAGCCGUAAACGAUGAUCGCUAGGUGUGGCACAGGCUACGAGCCUGUGCUGUGCCGUAGGGAAGCCGUGAAGCGAUCCGCCUGGGAAGUACGUCCGCAGGGAUGAAACUUAAAGGAAUUGGCGGGGGAGCACUACAACCGGAGGAGCCUGCGGUUCAAUUGGAUUCAACGCCGGA
Molecule: ribosomal RNA, 920 nt
Filed under: uncultured archaeon
Lineage: Archaea
Description: bacterial SSU rRNA
Rfam family: Archaeal small subunit ribosomal RNA
Source: RNAcentral